RNAcentral lists this long non-coding RNA (3913 nucleotides) under Sus scrofa (pig). RNAcentral describes it as "lncRNA (ENSSSCG00005002922.1)". The record is from RNAcentral. Lineage: Eukaryota; Metazoa; Chordata; Mammalia; Artiodactyla; Suidae.
GGGGGGGUACGUUUAACUUCUUGCCCAGCCUAUAUUUCCAUGUCUAUCCCAGUAUGGGGCUAUUUUUUUUUAAACAUUUAUUUUGUUGAUAUAGCAUUGUUUAUAACAUGUAAGUUUCACAUGUGCUGCCUUCUGUGUAUUUUCUGCUCACCACCAAAAAUGUAGUGUUCAUCCCUCAGCAUGCAAUUGAGCCCCUUCCCCCAUUUUUGCUCUCCCCCUAACUGCUCGCUCUGUGGCCACUACUACUCUGUUCUGUCUCAAUUUUUGUUUGGUUUGGUUUGUUCAUUAGUUUUUUAUAUUCCACAUAUGAGUGAACUCAUGUGGUAUUUGUCUUUCUCCAUCUGACUUAUUUCUAAAUUUAGCAUAAUAUCCUUAAGUCCAUCCAUGUUUUUGCAAACGGCAAGAUACCAUCUUCUUGGCUGAAUAGCAUUCCAGUGUGUUUGUGUGUAUGUGUGUGUGUGUGUAUACGUAUGUAUGUAUGUAUACCAUAUCUUUUCAUCUAUUGAUGGGCAUUUAAUUUGUUUCUAGUCUUGGCUAUUAUAAAUAAUGCCAGGAUGAACAUAGGGGGGUCUCAUUGGAUCUACAGCCUCUGGCCUAUGCCACAGCCACAGCCGUGUGGGAUCCAAGCCACGUCUGUGACCUACAACGGAGCUCUCGGCAAUGCCGGAUCCUUAACCCACUGAGUGACGCCAGGGAUGGAACCCACAACCUCAUGGUUCCUAGUCAGAUUCAUUGCCACUGUGCCACAAUGGGAACUCCCCUUUGGUUACUUUUGAUCCAUGAACAGGUCCCUAGAUUUUUGUGUGUUUUCAUAAUAUUGAUAUAUUUGAGGAGUCCAAGUCAGUUGUUUUGUAGCAUGUCCUUCAAUUUGGAUUUGUCUUAUCAUUUCCUCAUGUUUAAAUUCGGACUAAAUGUUUUUGGCAGGAAUAAGCUUUAAAUGUUAACAUAGUUAAGUUUGUUUUGUUUUUUCCUAAAGUUUUGGUUGUUAUUGUCUGUUAUUCAAGACCUACCUGGUUGCCAUAAUAUGACUUUUCAUCUCUGUUUUCUUCUAAAAAUUUCAAGGUUUUGAUUUUUUUUUAAAUGUUUAGGUUUAUAGAUGCUAUUUUUAUUUUAUUUUUUGCUUUUUUUAGUGUCACUCCCGCGGCAUACGGAGGUUCCCAGGCUAGGGGUCAAAUUGGAGCUCCAGUUGCUAGCCUAUACCACAGGCGCAGCAGCAUAGGAUCCAAGCCAUGUCUGUGACCUACACCACAGCUCACGGCAGUGCUGGAUCCUUAACCCACUAAGCAAGGCUAGGGAUCGAACCUGCAUCCUCACAGAUACUAGUCGGAUUCAUUUCCACUGUGCCGUGACAGGAACUCCUAUAGAUGCUAUUUAUUUUUUCUGCUUAGUCUACCUAUAAUAUGGUGUUCAAUUAGCAUUUCUGUUAUACGUUCUUUUUCUACCAUUGUUUGUCAUAAAAUUAUUCUGUAAAUUCAUAAGAACAGAACAGCUUUUGUUAUGCUCUAAAUUAGGGCCAGAGCAUUGCAGAAAGUGCAAAUUUUGAAUUAUCUGAGUGUGCUAAAGGUGUAGCAGUUGAAACAACUCAAACAUUGUGUCAAAAUUGUAAAAAUUUUAAGAUAUAUUUGUAAAAAUUUAACUGAUAUCAUACUGUAAAUAAGACCAAGAUGUAACUUACAGAGUAAACAUCAGAAUCUUUCACAAAUCUGAAAUCAGUAACUGCCAUAUUUUUAAUCUUGGAUUAUUGACUAUUGCAGUAGGUUUGAUGAGAUAACCUGAUGUAGAAAUGAGAACUUUGAGGAAAGAAAGAAACCUAUAGACAGUAGAUUAGAUUUAGAAUACUUAGAUGGGAAAAAAAUGUGUGAUAUUACAGCCUUUGACACACAACUGGCACUCUGAAGUUUUGACUCUAUAAAAGUAGAAACCCAUUAUAACGUUCCUUCAAACAUAAUUUGCUGCUUCGUGCAGAGGCCACUACACUGUGUAGAGGUCUCAAGUAUUAAACUCUGUGAACUCUAGUAAUACAAGUAAUAAUUUAUUAUGCACUAUGUGUCAGCCACUGUUCUUAGCACCUUAGACUUAUAAAUGCAUUAAAUACUUGUUCCAACUCUGAGCAUUUUUGAGUAGAAGAAACUGAAGUGACUAUAUAAUUUGCUCAGUUAUAAAGCUAAUUAGUGUUAUAGCUGGGUUUUGAACUCAGACAGUGUGGCCCCAGAAUCUGUGGUCUUCACUGCAAGUAUGGGUCUAUGAUCUUGGUCGAAUUAUUUAACUUCUCUAUGCUGUUUUCUUCUUUGUAUAAUGAAUAGUAUCUAAUUCGUAUGUUUGUUGUGAAAAGUCAGUGAGAUAAAGUAUGUUUGGAGCUUAGAAUAACACAUGAAAAAAAAUGAGCACUCAAUAAAUGUUAGCUGUUAUUAUGUUAGCAUUACUAGGCAUUGAGCUUGUGCAUAUCUCUGAAUUUUUAUCAAAUAAGUGAGUUAAGCCAUAAAUAUGAUUGUAUAUACAAAAACGUAGAAAUAUCAUGGUGAUUAUUUCUGCCUGUCUGAUUUUUUAUCUCUGUGUUAUUUUGAAAGAGCAAAGUUACCAGCAGAAACAAAGUUGGAUGAAUGGUGAGCCAGGAGCUCAUUGGUAAGAGAGUGAGUUCUUUUGAAUAAAGCAGAAUUUUUAAUCUGCUUUUAAAAAAAAAUUCAAGGGUCAUUACUGAAGGUACAGAGUGCUGUAUAUUGACUGAAUGUAAAAACAGUUCAGCUUUAGCUUUUGAAAGCCUGUAAUUAAGUUUAGCAAUAUUUUGAAGAAAUAAAAGUCAUAUGGUGGUCCCCUCUUAUUUGUAGUUUUACAUUCCACAGUUUUGUUACCUGCAGUCAACCACAGACUGAAAGUAUUAAGUGGAGAAUUCCAGAAAUAAACAAUUCCUAAAUUUUAUAUUGUGUGCUGUUCUGAGUAGUGUGAUGAAAUCUUGUACUAUCCUUCCUGGGAUCCCCCGUCAUUUAUAUCCUCAUGGCUUGGUAAUCCAGGAUCACCCAAGCAGAUGAUCCUCCUCCUGAUAUAGCAUCAGAAAAUUAGUAGUAGCCUAGCACCGUGUCACAGUGCCUACGUCAUUCACCUUAGCUUCAUCUCCUUACGUAGGCGUCUCAUAUCAUUACAAGAAGAAGUAGUACAGUAGAAUAAGAUAUUUUGAGAGGGAGACUGUUCAUUCACAUAACCUUUGUUACAGUGUAUUGUUGUCAUUGUUUUAUUAUUGUUUAUUGUUGUUAAUCUCUUAUGUGCCUAAUUUGUAAAUUACACUUCGUCAUAGGUGUGUAUAUGUAGGAAAAAACAUAGUAUCUGUAGCAUUAGGUACUAUCCAGUUUCAGGCAUCCACUGGGUAUCUUGGAAUGUAUCUUUCCUCUGAUAAGGGGUCCACUGUACUACAUAUUCUCAGGCCCAAUCACUUUUUUAAUUUAAAUUUUUUGGUAUUUUUAGGGCUGCACCUAUGGCAUGGGAGGUUCUCAGCCUAGGGGUCAAAUUGGAGCUAUAGCUGCCAGUCUAUAGCACAGCCACAGCAAUGCUGGAUCCAGGCCGUGUCUGCGGCCCACACCACAGCUCACGGCAACACUGGAUCCCAACCCACUGAGCAGGGCCAGGGAUGGAACCCGCGUCCUCAUAGAUACUAGUUGGGUUCACUAACCGCUGAGCCAUGACAGGAACUCCAAGCCCAGUCAUUUAAAAUGUUUUCUUUACAUGCUCUCUUGUUCCUUUCUGUCAAUAACCAUGUUAUUGUUGAAGGUCCGGUAUUACACAAAACUUUCAGUUGGAAGCAGCUUCCAUAUGCAGAUGUAGAACAAAUACAGCAUUCUAUGUGAUAUGGCAGAGGUAAUGGAGUGCUAGAGUAGCAGCAGUAAAAUGUUCAGGAGAACAUAGCAGAAUUUAGGUCUUUUUG